GCUAGCAUGCUGACGCAAUAGAUUCUGUACCGAAAGCAACUGUUACACUCUAGGUAGUUCGCUAAUUCUGAUUAUGUCGAUAUAGUAUGACCAGCCUUUUGUUAGGAUCAGGACACGAGCACAAGAAGAACACAUCCAUUACUGUUUUGAUUAAUUGCUAUUAUAAGAUCAAUUAAUAAUUGACGACAGCUAAUCCUGUGAUUACUACAGAUAUCCUGAUUUAAUAUAGGAGGAUUGUGCACUGUACUCCUAGUUUCCAUGAAACUUUGCUGCCGUUCUAUGUGUGCCGUUUUAUUGCUUUUAAGUCAAACUUGAUAACCUUUUGAAUAUGUUCGUUUGAAACUAUAAUUAUUCAUAGUUAAUCACUUAGUAUUGGACUGUUGAUUGAAAACACAUGGAUUACACAUUUUGU
This is a long non-coding RNA of Paramormyrops kingsleyae, 412 nucleotides long. RefSeq lists it as uncharacterized. NCBI's taxonomy places the organism in Eukaryota, Metazoa, Chordata, Actinopteri, Osteoglossiformes, Mormyridae. The record is from RefSeq and is a predicted model, not a curated record.